RNAcentral lists this ribosomal RNA (524 nucleotides) under uncultured bacterium. Its description in RNAcentral is "bacterial SSU rRNA". It matches the Rfam family "Bacterial small subunit ribosomal RNA", at positions 355 to 896 of the family's 1533-position model. The record is from RNAcentral.
UGGGGAAUAUUGCACAAUGGGGGAAACCCUGAUGCAGCGACGCCGCGUGAGUGAAGAAGUAUUUCGGUAUGUAAAGCUCUAUCAGCAGGGAAGAAAAUGACGGUACCUGAGUAAGAAGCCCCGGCUAACUACGUGCCAGCAGCCGCGGUAAUACGUAGGGGGCAAGCGUUAUCCGGAUUUACUGGGUGUAAAGGGAGCGCAGACGGCUCUGCAAGUCUGAGGUGAAAGCCCGCGGCUUAACCGCGGGACUGCUUUGGAAACUGCAAGGCUUGAGUAUCGGAGGGGCAGGCGGAAUUCCUAGUGUAGCGGUGAAAUGCGUAGAUAUUAGGAAGAACACCGGUGGCGAAGGCGGCCUGCUGGACGAAAACUGACGUUGAGGCUCGAAGGCGUGGGGAGCAAACAGGAUUAGAUACCCUGGUAGUCCACGCGGUAAACGAUGAAUACUAGGUGUUGGUGCCCGAAGGGCAUCGGUGCCGUCGCAAACGCAAUAAGUAUUCCACCUGGGGAGUACGUUCGCAAGAAUG